GACGAACGCUGGCGGCGUGCUUAACACAUGCAAGUCGAACGGAAAGGCCUCUUUCGGGGGGUACUCGAGUGGCGAACGGGUGAGUAACACGUGAGUAACCUGCCCUUGACUUUGGGAUAACUUCAGGAAACUGGGGCUAAUACCGGAUAGGAGCUCCUGCUGCAUGGUGGGGGUUGGAAAGUUUCGGCGGUUGGGGAUGGACUCGCGGCUUAUCAGCUUGUUGGUGGGGUAGUGGCUUACCAAGGCUUUGACGGGUAGCCGGCCUGAGAGGGUGACCGGCCACAUUGGGACUGAGAUACGGCCCAGACUCCUACGGGAGGAAGCAGUGGGGAAUCUUGCACAAUGGGUGGAAGCCUGAUGCAGCAACGCCGUGUGCGGGAUGACGGCCUUCGGGUUGUAAACCGCUUUCGCUCAUGACGAAGCUUUGUGUGACGGUAGUGGGUAAAGAAGCACCGGCUAACUACGUG
Molecule: ribosomal RNA, 467 nt
Filed under: uncultured bacterium
Lineage: Bacteria
Description: partial 16S ribosomal RNA
Rfam family: Bacterial small subunit ribosomal RNA
Source: RNAcentral